RNAcentral lists this long non-coding RNA (751 nucleotides) under Homo sapiens (human). RNAcentral's name for it is "HSALNT0000290". Lineage: Eukaryota; Metazoa; Chordata; Mammalia; Primates; Hominidae. The record is from RNAcentral.
GUAUUUUUAGUAGAGACGGAGUUUCACCAUGUUGGCCAGGAUGGUCUUCAACUUCUAACUUCGUGAUCCACGCUGCUGGGAUUACAGGUGUGAGCCACCGCGUGUGGCCUCUGGGCACCUUUUGAAGGUAGCUGAAGCAGAGAGAGAAGGCGGCAGGCAUCAGCGUUUUCUUCUAUGAACUUAUAAGAUCAAAGACUUUAAGACUUUCACUAUUUCUUCUACCGCUAUCUACUACGAACUUCAAAGAGGAACCAGGAGUACGGAAGGAGCAUGAAAGUGGACAAGGAACGUGACCAUUGAAGCACCACAGGGAGGGGUUCAGGCCUCCGGAUGACUGCAGGCAGGCCUGGGUAACAUCCAGCCUCCCACAAGAAGCUGGUGGAGCAGAGCGUUCCCUGACUCCUCCAAGGAAAGGAGACUCCCUUUCCCGGUCUGCUCAGUAACGGGUGCCUUCCCAGACACUGGCGUUACCGCUUGACCAAGGGGCCCUCAAGCGGCCCUUAUGCGGGCAUGACAGAAGGCUCCCCUCUUGCCUUCUAUUCACUUCUCACAAUGUCCCUUCAGCACCUGACCCUAUACCUGCCGGUUAUUCCUAGGUUAUAUUAUUAAUGCAACAGAGUAAUAUUAAAAGCUAAUGAUUAAUAAUGUUUAUAAUAAUGAUGGAUAAUUGUUCAUGAUCAUCGCUGUAUCUAAUUUGUAUUAUGACUAUUCUUAUUCUAUUUUCUUUAUUAUACUGAAACAGUUUGUGCCU